Oncorhynchus keta (chum salmon) is the source of this 472-nucleotide long non-coding RNA. RefSeq lists it as uncharacterized. The record is from RefSeq and is a predicted model, not a curated record. The transcript is spliced from 3 exons. NCBI's taxonomy places the organism in Eukaryota, Metazoa, Chordata, Actinopteri, Salmoniformes, Salmonidae.
UGGAGAGAGAGGUUUGGAGAGAAGGAGACAGGGAUGGAGAGAGAGGUUUGGAGAGAAGGGGACAGGGAUGGAGAGAGAGGUUUGGAGAGAAGGGGACAGGGAUGGAGAGAGAGGUUUGGAGAGAAGGGGACAGGGAUGGAGAGAGAGGUUUGGAGAGAAGGGGACAGGGAUGGAGAGAGAGGUUUGGAGAGAAGGGGACAGGGAUGGAGAGAGAGGUUUGGAGAGAAGGGGACAGGGAUGGAGAGAGAGGUUUGGAGAGAAGGGGACAGGGAUGGAGAGAGAGGUUUGGAGAGAAGGGGACAGGGAUGGAGAGAGAGGUUUGGAGAGAAGGGGACAGGGAUGGAGAGAGAGGUUUGGAGAGAAGGGGACAGGGAUGGAGAGAGAGGUUUGGAGAGAAGGGGACAGGGAUGGAGAGAGAGGUUUGGAGAGAAGGGGACAGGGAUGGAGAGAGAGGUUUGAGAGAAGGGUACAG